AGCGAACGCUGGCGGCAGGCUUAACACAUGCAAGUCGAGCGGGCAUCUUCGGAUGUCAGCGGCAGACGGGUGAGUAACACGUGGGAACGUACCCUUCGGUUCGGAACAACUCUGGGAAACUGGAGCUAAUACCGGAUACGCCCUUAUGGGGAAAGGUUUACUGCCGAAGGACCGGCCCGCGUCUGAUUAGCUAGUUGGUGGGGUAACGGCCUACCAAGGCGACGAUCAGUAGCUGGUCUGAGAGGAUGAUCAGCCACACUGGGACUGAGACACGGCCCAGACUCCUACGGGAGGCAGCAGUGGGGAAUAUUGGACAAUGGGCGCAAGCCUGAUCCAGCCAUGCCGCGUGAGUGAUGAAGGCCUUAGGGUUGUAAAGCUCUUUUGUCCGGGACGAUAAUGACGGUACCGGAAGAAUAAGCCCCGGCUAACUUCGUG
Molecule: ribosomal RNA, 435 nt
Filed under: uncultured bacterium
Lineage: Bacteria
Description: partial 16S ribosomal RNA
Rfam family: Bacterial small subunit ribosomal RNA
Source: RNAcentral